Oryza sativa Japonica Group (Japanese rice) is the source of this 3565-nucleotide non-coding RNA. The record is from RefSeq and is a predicted model, not a curated record. Lineage: Eukaryota; Viridiplantae; Streptophyta; Magnoliopsida; Poales; Poaceae.
AGCCCAAAAGAAAAGCCCACCUAGACCCCGUUCUUCCUCUUCUCUCCUUUUCUCGUUCUUCUCCUCUGCCGCACGCUCUCUCCCAGCGCCGUCGCUCACACCGCCGCUCCCCCUCACGCCAGCCGCUGCUCCCUGCCUCCGGCAGCCGCCCCGCAGCUGCUGCCUGCCUGAAUCGGUUCCGUGGCUCCUCAUGAGUCUAUCCCCAAAUUAACCCUAGCCAUCAACCCCUCUCCAAUCGAUGCUGCUGCUGGCUACUGCUCUCAACGACUGAGAUUGGAAUUUCCCCAGCCCCAGCGCCCCUGAUUCGAGCAUGGCUCAGACCAGCCGUGUCUCCCCAAGCUCCUCUUCUCUAAUCCCUUCUCUCUUUUCUUCUGUGAUGUGAUCUAAUUGGUGUUCUCUUGUGUGGUAACCUACUGUGAAUUUUUAUGCUUGUGAACUAGUCCUAAUGACCAACGUGAUGAUGCUAUACUCAGGAUUAUCCUGCUGUCUGUAGGGUUCCAGAUUGAUUGAUUUGCUAUAGAUGGAUGAUGACUAUAUGCUAUGGAUGAAUGAAUGAAUGCUUACAUAAUAUAUCCUAUGAAAAUGCAGUACUGAAAUUAAAAGCACACUAACAUGAUUUUGUCCUUAUAAAUGUGCUUGCAUAUAGAAUAACCGAAUUUCUGAAAUUAGUGGCAUAUUAGCAGGAUUAAAUCCCUAAAUUAGGUUUAUUGAAUGAUGCAGCAACUUACAUGUUCUAUAAUUUGAUAAUUAUGGCAAGAUCUGUACUAUAUAUAGUUGAAUUAUAACCUAUGAAAUCUAACAUUGAAUAUAAAGAGAUGGUGACUGAUUUCUUAAAUAAUUUACUGCUAUUGACUAUAUGUCCUGACUCUUGCCUCUGUAUAAUUUACUUGAUUCGACUUAUUCCUGCAGGGAGAAAUUAGACUUAUUGAUGACCUAACUAUACUAUGGUUUUUAUUCAGAUAUUAUACGCUAUUGUUUCCUGAGAAUUUUAUAAACUAUGAUAGCAUACACUUAAACUCAAGAUAUAUUUGUGCACACUAAAAGAUGUCAUUCUUUUCUCUAAAUAUGUUCUACUCUUCCAACUGACCUACAAUUGAUACCUAUUAUUCUGCUAAUGGAUCCUAUAUCCUCUAUUUAGUUUCUAAACUAAGAAUAGAUCAUUGCCUACCCAUUUAUGCUCUGUCUAUUUAACUUGAAAUACUAGCACAAUAUUGAUCUUACCUUAAGCUCUUGAGGUUAAAUAGAACAGUGAUUAUUUCUAACUAUGCAUGUAGUCAAAAUUCAUCCUAUGAUAGCUUUACUGAACAUUGAUUUAUAGAACUAUAUACAGAUAUAAUCCUUAGCUCAAUUGCACUUGUAGAUCAUUAGAAAUAAAUCUUGCUGUUAAAUAUGUACUGAGAUGGCUGGUCUGUACUUGAAUUUUCCUUCUAAGACUCCACUGAAUUUAGGAUGAUAUUAUCCUGUCCAACUACUCAUAAAAACUUUGCCUAGCUUAUUGAACUAAGGAUGCACAUUCAGUAAUAUACCCCAACACCUAGUACUAGUAUAUCCACAGAUCAACAUGGCUGCCAUCUACUGAGUUCAUUUUUCAGGUUUAAUGGAUAUAACUAAGGGCAUGCACACAACUCCUAAACAUACUAUUGAAGAUGUUCCUGUAGUGCGAGAUUAUCCUGAUGUUUUUCCCGCAGAAUUGCCACGGAUGCCACCUGAGCGUGAUGUAGAGUUCCGUAUUGAUCUUGUUCUUGGUACACAACCUAUCUCCAGAGCCCCGUACCAGUUAGCUCGUCCUUUCCAAGAAGAGUUGAAGAAACAAUUAGAUGAUCUAUUAUCCAAGAAGUUAAUCCGACGGAGUGUGUCGCCAUGGGGCGCACCUGUUAUUUUUACUGAGAAGAAGGAUGGAAGUUGGCGUAUGUGUGUGGACUAUCGGGCCUUAAAUGCUGCGACAAUCAAGAACAAGUACCCAUUGCCUCGUAUUGAGGAUUUGUUUGAUCAGUUAAAGGGAGCGAAGGUGUUUUCUAAAAUUGACUUGCAAUCUGGUUAUAACCAAAUUCGAGUGCGAGAAGAGGAUAUUGAGAAGACCGCAUUUUCCACGAGAUGUAGAGGAGCAUGAGCGUCAUCUGAGGAUGGUACUAGGGACCCUACGAGAAAACAAGUUCUAAUGUAAACUGAAGAAGUGUGAGUUCUGGCUUCCUGAAGUGGCUUUCCUAGGGCAUGUAAUUAAUCAGCAAGGUAUCUCGGUUGAUCCAAGCAAAGUUUCAAGUGUUGUCGGAUGGGAAAGGCCGACUAAUGUUAAGGAUGUGAGGAGUUUUUUGGGUAUGGCGGGGUACUACCGACGCUUUGUGAAGGAUUUCUCGAUUAUCGCUAAACCUAUGACGAUGCUCACACAUAAGGAUGUGAAGUUUCAGUGGACGGACCAAUGCGAGCGUAGUUUCCAACAAUUGAAGCAGAGGCUGGUAACUGCUCCGGUGCUUACUUUGCCCCAACCUGGCAAAUGUUUCACUGUCUAUUCCGAUGCUUCAUGAGUAGGCCUUGGUUGUGUUCUUAUGCAAGACGGCAAUGUUAUAGCUUAUGCGUCUAGGCAGUUAAAGAAGCAUGAGCAGAAUUACCCCACUCAUGAUCUUGAGCUUGCAACAGUGGUCUUUGCUCUCAAAAUAUGAAGGCACUACCUGUAUGGAGAAUCUUGUGAUAUUUUCACUGAUCAUAAGAGUCUGAAGUACAUCUUCACUCAGAAGGAUUUGAACUUUAGGCAGAGGAGGUGGCUAGAAUUAAUAAAAGAUUAUGAUCUCAACAUUCAGUAUACCCUGGGUAAGGCGAAUGUCGUUGCAGAUGCUCUAAGCCGUAAGGUUGUUCCUCUAAAUGUGAGUUGUUUGAUAACUGAUUUUGAACGGAUGGAUAUCUCCUAUUGUUAUGUUGGAGUGGCGAGUACCGAGUCACGAGUCAUUCUUGAGUCCGCCAUACCCCAACGAGUGCUAGAGGCCCAACAACACGAUCGGUUGCUGCAACAAGUUAAGAAACGUGUAAAGGAAGGAAAAACUGGAGAUUUCACUUUGGAUUCCUCGGGAGCUGUGCGAUUCCAUGGGCGUUUAUGUGUUCCACAGAAAGCUGAAGUCAAGGAAGAGAUUUUGCGAGAAGCACACUGAACACCAUAUACUGUGCAUCCUGGGGAGAACAAGAUGUAUCAUGAUCUGAAGAAGAUCUAUUGGUGGAAGAGGAUGAAAGUGGAUGUGGCCAAGUACGUGGCAUCAUGUGGGGUAUGUCAGCGAGUAAAGGCUGAACAUAAGAGUUCUGCUGGAAAGUUACAAUCAUUGGAAGUUCCUGUAUGGCCUUGGGAUGAUAUUGCUAUGGAUUUCGUGGUUGGGCUACCUCGAACUCCACGAGGGAAGGACGCCAUCUAGGUGGUUGUAGAUCGUCUGAGUAAGGUGGCACAUUUCAUUCCUAUCCGCACCACUUAUUCUGCGAGUGACUUGGCACCGAUCUAUACACGCGAGGUAGUGAGGUUACAUGGUGUGCCUCGCUCGAUUGUUUCUGAUAGGGAUGCUAAGUUUUCUUCUAAGUUUUGGGAAUC